GAGAGGGAGUGCCAGCUAGCAGGAGCUCUGGGUAAACCUUUUAAAUCCAGCCUCUUAAUGGGUUGGGGACUUUUUGUUUCUUUCUUCCUUGAUUUCCCUAAAUUCAGGAUUCAACUCCUAAGCUUCCUAGUCACAAUGCAAAGGGAGUUUAGUUUUUAGAAGAACUGUAUGACUGGGUCUCCUACGUUUGGGUGGCGAUCAUGGACCAGCAGAGUUUCUCCUUACUAGUUGCUUUUAGGAUUGCUCUAACUAUCUCGGGGUUUCUAAUUCUUUUUCAAAAAUCUCAUUUUUUACCACCAAUAAAAAGCUUGUUUAGAUAUUGAUUGCCUGUUACAAAUAAUCUAUUUCUACUUCAUGGGAAAUUCAAACAGGUCAGUACCAGGGCAAUGAUUUUUAUUUUCCAUUCAGCAUCUUUCUAUGGCAUUCAUUUUAAUAAACAUCUUUCUACAGUAGCCAUCUGUGUUAAAACUACUAUCUUGGUCAAUUUCAAAGCCAUUUGGGUGGCUUUAAAAACAGGGAAUCCUAGACUUGGGAAGAGAAAAUGACAUUUCCAGGCCAAGUUCCAUGAGCACACAACUCAAAUCCAGAUGUGACAGCUGGCCACGCAAGGCCAUGCUGUCCCCAUACUCCUCCUCUUUCAUAUGCAUUGUCAUCUCAAGUUAUGGUCUCAAGUUAUGGUCUCAAAGUGGACUGAAUACUGUGAACUGGAUCUUAAUUAUGUUCCAUCUUCUAUUUCAAAGUAAACGCAGGGUGAGAUCUGUACAAGAUUUGUUGGUUCAUUUUGGUUUUCAGACGCUUUCUUCAGCUUCUUUAUCCAUUAAGACACUCAUUUCACUCACCUAUCUCAAAGGUAUUUUUAGGGUCAAAUGAGGUCUGUGAAAAGGCUCCAAGAAAGGUGAGCAUUUAUUAUUGAAGUGGGCAGAACAAUGGUCCCUCAAAAAGGCCCACAUCUGAAUCCCUAUACCCUGUGAACAGUUAGAUUAUACAGCAAAAGGGAAUUACGUUUGCAGAUGGAAUUAAGGUUACCAGUUGGCUGAUUUUAAAAGAGGAAGAUUAUCCUGGAUUAUCUAGGCAGCCCAAUGUAAUCAGAAGCAGCUUUAAAUGUAGAAGAGGGGAGCAGAAGAGUGAGUGUCAGAGGGAUGUGAUGUGAGGAAGACAUUUGCUGGCUUUAAAAAUGGAAGGGGGUAUAAGCCAAAGAAUGCAGCCACCUCUAGAAGAUGCUAAAGGAAGUUCUAUCAGAUGCCACUACGGUAGAGAUAGAGAAGCCCUAGAAAGAGUGUGGACAAGUACCACCAAAGUCACUGGGAAACAGAAUCUUUGAAAGUUCUAGGCAUUGGAUGAAUGACACAUUAGGACCUGGAAGAACCCAAAAGCGAUUUGCCACCUGCUAACAUACAUAAGACCGAAAAUAACACCAAAAGGACCUCCUUGACCUAGGACAUCUGGGCCUUUGAGUCACCAAUGGCUCUGAGACACUUACAACAAAAAUGUGGCAGAGAGAAACCCGGAAGCUCAAUGACUGAGACAAAGACCUGCAGCCACACUCCAGAGGGUGUUCGCCUCUUGGGCCCCUGUGACUGACUCACCUCAAUGGCUCAACUGCAGCACAGGGAGGAAGGACAACUAGUCGGCUCCAUGGAACCUCAAUUUUGUCACCUAUAACAAUGAUUUCUACCCAUAGGCUUGUUGUGAGGAUUAAAUAAGAUCACAGCAGGGCUAGCAGAUGCUCUUCUUCAGACCAGAGCAAAGGGCACCUUGGCCUGGCUACAUAAUAUGUAACUCUGCAUUCUGGUGUAGAAAACAGAGGUGCUAUGCAGUUACUCCUGUAACUGAAUAAGACACAAGUUCCAUUGUCCCUGAUUUUUAGUAUUUAGAAUUUUGGCUUUUUGAUUUGUCCUCAUUGCUUUGCUUGUUUAAGGAAAACAACUUCAUCGGGACCUGAGAAAAAUCCAGUACUCACAAAUGUUAAUAGCAACAUGAUAGUUUUAUAAUGCUACAAGGACAUUUGAGCUGACUUUGAAUGUCCUCUUUUCCCCUCUGGUUAGGAGCUCACAUGGACCACAUGAAAAUUCAAUUAAGCCACACAGUUUGUUUUAUAAGUGAAGUUAGUGUGGAAGGCAGUGUUGGCAUUCUUUGUGGAAACGUGUUAGCCUGGUGUGAGCACUCACAGAAGUCUCUUGUUGUCACAGGCUGGAAAAGGAACUAAAUGAGAAUGACGAUGCUCUAGGCAGUGACUUGGUUGAGAAAACUGGGCAGGAAGCAGAAACAUGGGCACUGCAUGAAGGCCACAAGUCUGUGACCUGAGACUAGCCUGCAGUAGACAGCCUUGUAAUUCUGAGUGACUUUGCCUUGAGUCAUGAGGACAAUAAAGAAGUUCCAAUGAAACAGCCUCGUAAGCCCAGAUUUAUACAGGUUUCAGUGACGAACAAUGAGGGGCCAGUGAGGGGUCAUGCCAAGGCACUGCGGCAGACUCCCCGAAGAGCGGGUGUGCCUGCCCCCACGAGCGGAUGUGGAAGGCACACACGCACCCCCAACACACACAGAUAUGCUGCCUGUUAGUCACGAGAACAACCCACUGAUUCUCAAUAAAAUCUGUGGCAUUCUCCCCA
This is a long non-coding RNA of Phyllostomus discolor (pale spear-nosed bat), 2609 nucleotides long. RefSeq lists it as uncharacterized. The transcript is spliced from 4 exons. Lineage: Eukaryota; Metazoa; Chordata; Mammalia; Chiroptera; Phyllostomidae. The record is from RefSeq and is a predicted model, not a curated record.